RNAcentral lists this transfer RNA (84 nucleotides) under Strongylodon ruber. RNAcentral's name for it is "tRNA-Tyr". Lineage: Eukaryota; Viridiplantae; Streptophyta; Magnoliopsida; Fabales; Fabaceae. The record is from RNAcentral.
AUUUUUAAAAACUUGUUUAUCUCUAUCCUUCCCAAUUUCCAAAUUGAUUAUCGUUUUUUAAUUUACCGGCUUAGUAUUAGAUAU